CUGUAAGGAACCACAAAUGACUUCCUGGAUAGACUUGUUAUGUCAUCUAAUUUCUCUUAUUUUGUUCCAUCCAUAGGCUUGCAUUCUUGGAAGGUAAAGGGAUAAGAAGCUGUGAAGGUUACGUAAUGGAGAUGAAAGGCAAGCUACAGGAAGUGAAAUUGGCAAUUCUUCUUGGUCCCUGUUUGGGAAAAUGUGAAUCUCAUCCUCUCAGUUUCUAGUUUGACAGACUAUAAGAGGAGUCUAUCAAGAAACCAUGUACAGAAAUAUCAAGUAAAAUAUAUCAUAAAAAAGGGACUCUGAGAACCUAGUGACCUGAAAAAAUGUUACUUAUGAAACUAAUGACCUAAGAAUGCCUUUAAAUCGAAGAGCAUCUAGUACAGCAAAGAGACCUUCAAAAUGGGCAUGUAAGCACUGAUCCAGAUAGAAGAUUAAAUAGCACGAUAUAUUAAAAAGCAUAAGUUUCUUUUCAGAGUUAGAGACGAAUGCUGAAAGACCAUGAAAAAUCUCAGAGACAAGUCAUUUCUGGGACAAUAAAUAGCGGAAGACAGCAUUUAACAAUGAAUUAAGGGAAAUUCCAUUCUUUCCUGUAUUUCAGCACUGCGGAAGUCUACGAAGCAGUUAAUGUUAAGAAAUACCAUUGACUAAAAAAAAAAAAAUGAUUUUCUGCAUUGGAUGUUAAAAGAUAUGAAGCAAGAAAUUGACCAUUCAGUGGAACAAUGUGAAUCCUAAAUUAUCUAAAUAAAAACAAGAGGAUCAGUUAAUUCAGAAAAAAGAAUUGUAUAAAUUCUGGAACUCGGUAGAUAUAUUCUCCUUAACAAAUUCUGGCAAAGAAUUCUCCCAAUCACUUAUUCAUUAGGGAUUGAGAAUUGACACUAGAAACAGAUAACUUGUGCUUAAUAUUGUGCUUAAGCUUUAAGCAUAGAAAAUUUCCUUGAUGCAAGGGGGUUACUGUGUCACCUCAAGUUAAAAGGCAAUUUAGGAAGUGAUAUGUAACUAGCAGUUUGAAAGUAUUCUAAAUAUUACUUGCUAACAAAAUUCACUCUCUACAGAAGGGACAUACCUAACAAAGAAUACAUCUUGCAGAUUGCUACAUAAAGAGUAAGUACAUUGACAAAUAUUAUGUACUUAAAAUAUAUACAGCUCUGUACUUAGCAUGCCACAUAGAAUUCCUUAAUAUUCCUCUUAACAGCUGUACAAGUUAACUUGACUUUUAUACGCAUUAUACACAUGAAAAAAAUGAGAUGAGAAAGGCCAAAUAAAAUGAAUGAAUGAAUGAAUGAGUUUUUAAAAUUUAUUUUGACAUGAGAGCCAAUCCUAUCAGCCUUGCUGAUUUCUUCAAAAUACUUGCAAAUAAGUUGCUAUAAUAUAAAAACAUCUUCUUAUUGUUUCUCUCUCCUUAAGGAUUUCUCUGAGACAUUUCUAAUAUUUAAAUCUUUUUUCCCAUAGGUUGUCUUUCACGGUACUUUGUAUACACUACUUUGGGUUCAUAUGCCUCAAGUGAAAAAUUGGUCUAAUAACAUUAAUACCUCUGUCACAACCCCAUUGCACAUGAUCAGUUCUAAUAAUGGGUUUUAAAGUAAUUUUGUUUUAUUUUAAAUUACUAUUCAGAUAUCAGUCACUAUGACAUCAGACUUUUUACUCUCUGUGAUAGUUAUAUAUCAACUUAGCUGGAGUAUAGUAUCAAGUUAUUCAAUAAAACACUAAUCUAGGUGUCACUGUGAAGGGAUUUUGUAGAUAUGAUUAACAUCUACAUUUAGUUGACACUAAGUAAAGGAGAUUUUCCUUGAUAAUGUGGUCAAGCCUCAUCCAAUCAAUUGAAAGGCCUGAGCUUUUCUAGAGGAAGAAGUAAUUUUAUCUCAGGACUCCAGCAUUAGCUACUGCUGGACAAUCCCAGCAUCCCAACCUGCCCAACAGAUUUUAGACUAGACUUACCACCUCAUAUGAGCACAUAGCAGAUUCCCAGAAAUCAAUCUAUCUACCUAUGUAUCUAUCAAUCUAUCAUCUCUCUCCUACUGCUUCUGUUUCUGUAGAUGACACUGACAGAUGUGAAUAUUCACAUAAAAGCUGUCAAUAUGCAUGUUCCUUCCUACUACUUGUACCAAUUAAGCAAAGAGUGUAACGGAUGCAUAUUUUUCUAAAGAAUUUCUGUAUGUGUUCUCCGAUUAUUGGUCAGAAAUAAAAAUAUGUUUAUAAUGCAAAAUUCAUAAAAUGUGUAUAAAUGAUAAUGUAUAUGCCUAUAUAAGUGUGUGUUUUUCUGUGUAUACAUAUAUGUAUAUAUGAGUGUGUGUGUAUGUGUGUGCAUUUUUUUGUAACUGAUACUGUGGCCUUUUAUAUCUACCAAAAUCCAGGACUAGUUUAGAAAAGAAAUUACAGCAGCAUUCUAAAAUUUACUUGUUUGAUAUAAAUAUAUUUUUGUAACUUUUUUUGCCUGACAUUUGUGCUGUAAAUCAAAAGUACUUUUGUGAAAGCAAUUUUUUUAAACAAUCUUCUCUGAAAUUGUGUAGGAGGAAGUGAAUCGCUACCACUCAAUCCUGACAUUAAUUCAACAGACACAUAUUUUGAUUUCUGAAGAAUUAUGGAAACAUUCUUUCAGAAGAGAACAAUGAAAGAUAGCAUUCUGUGUUUAGCACAUUUCCCCUUUCCAAGUGGCAGUGGAGCGUUGUAACAGCAAAGUAAAUUGCUUCUUAUUUCUAUGUGCUUUUUAAAACUGUGACACUGACUGAGCUGAACCACCAAGACCACAUCUGUACACAGCUAAAUAAAAGGUUUUACAUGAUGGCAAAACUGGG
Molecule: long non-coding RNA, 2789 nt
Filed under: Homo sapiens (human)
Lineage: Eukaryota; Metazoa; Chordata; Mammalia; Primates; Hominidae
Description: HSALNT0335688
Source: RNAcentral